This 806-nucleotide ribosomal RNA is filed under the name uncultured bacterium. RNAcentral's name for it is "bacterial SSU rRNA". It matches the Rfam family "Bacterial small subunit ribosomal RNA", at positions 33 to 841 of the family's 1533-position model. The record is from RNAcentral.
ACGUNGGCGGCGUGCCUAAUACAUGCAAGUCGAACGAAGGGCUCAGCGUAGCAAUACGCAGAGUACUCUUAGUGGCGAACGGGUGAGUAACGCGUUGGUGACCUACCCCAAAGAGAGGGAUAACAGUUCGAAAGGACUGCUAAUACCUCAUGUGAUCGUUUGGUUUAGAAGCCUUAUGAUUAAAGGAGCUUGCUCCACUUUGGGAGGGGCCUGCGUACCAUCAGCUAGUUGGUAGGGUAAUGGCCUACCAAGGCUAUGACGGUUAGGGGACCUGAGAGGGUGGCCCCCCACAAUGGAACUGAAACACGGUCCAUACACCUACGGGUGGCAGCAGUAGGGAAUAUUGGUAAUGCGCGAAAGCGCGAACCAGCAACGCCGCGUGUGCGAUGAAUGCCUUCGGGUUGUAAAGCACUUUUCGGGAGGAAGAGGAAGGACUGUACUCCCGGAAUAAGUCUCGGCUAACUACGUGCCAGCAGCCGCGGUAAUACGUAGGAGGCUAACGUUAUCCGGAUUUACUGGGCGUAAAGCGCGUGUAGGCGGUUUGGUAAGUUGGACGUGAAAGCUCCCGGCUCAACUGGGAGAGGUCGUUCAAUACUGCUAGACUAGAGGAUGGUAGAGGGGAGGUGGAAUUCCGGGUGUAGUGGUGAAAUGCGCAGAUAUCCGGAGGAACACCCAGUGGCGAANGCGGCCUCCUGGGCCACUCCUGACGCUCAGACGCGAAAGCUAGGGUAGCAAACGGGAUUAGAGACCCCGGUAGUCCUAGCUGUAAACGAUGUGAACUUGGCGUCGGUGGGAUUAAAUCCAUC